RNAcentral lists this ribosomal RNA (825 nucleotides) under Luetzelburgia praecox. RNAcentral's name for it is "eukaryotic LSU rRNA". The stretch from base 359 to 514 matches the Rfam family "5.8S ribosomal RNA". Lineage: Eukaryota; Viridiplantae; Streptophyta; Magnoliopsida; Fabales; Fabaceae. The record is from RNAcentral.
CCGGUGAAGUGUUCGGAUCGCGGCGACGUGGGCGGUUCGCUGCCCGCGACGUUGUGAGAAGUCCACUGAACCUUAUCAUUUAGAGGAAGGAGAAGUCGUAACAAGGUUUCCGUAGGUGAACCUGCGGAAGGAUCAUUGUCGAUGCCUAACAAGCAGCGCGACCAGCGAAUUUGUUUAAAAUCGCCUCGGGGGGUGCCCCCCUCGAGUCGGGAGGCGACGACCUCGCGUGGUUUCCUCCCGCCCAAACAACAAACCCCGGCGCGAGACGCGCCAAGGAAUUCGAAAUCGUAUUGCGCGCCCCCGUCGGCCCGGAGACGGCGCUCGCGCGGGCGGCGUCGCGACGCAUGAAAAUCCAAAUGACUCUCGGCAACGGAUAUCUCGGCUCUUGCAUCGAUGAAGAACGUAGCGAAAUGCGAUACUUGGUGUGAAUUGCAGAAUCCCGUGAACCAUCGAGUCUUUGAACGCAAGUUGCGCCCGAAGCCAUUAGGCUGAGGGCACGCCUGCCUGGGUGUCACACAUCGUUGCCCCCAACCCGGUGCCUUAGGCUGAUAAGGACCCGGGCCGGGGCGAACGCUGGCCUCCCGCGAGCGCGGCCUCGUGGCUGGUUGAAAUUCGAGUCCGUGGCGGUGAGCGCGGCGACAGACGGUGGCUGAGUGAAGCUCGAGACCAGUCGCGCGCGCCUCUCCGUCGGGUCCGGACUCCCCGACCCGCGGGCGAUCGCCCAUGACGAGACCUCAGGUCAGGCGGGGCUACCCGCUGAGUUUAAGCAUAUCAAUAAGCGGAGGAAAAGAAACUAACAAGGAUUCCCCUAGUAACGGCGAGCGA